UAUACGACAUAUACUCAAGGAAAUGGUAAAGUACCAUUUGACCCGAAAUAAUGAAACCUUUAUUGGUAGCUUAAGGUGACUACAAUCAAAGAGAAUGGUUGACUUUGAAGAAACCAUCUUUGACGUAGUCUUAGUUUCAAUUAAUUCGAAGAUUGCUAGCUACAACUAAAUGGUGAUUCAAUGUUUGGACAUAAUAUGGGUUUCCGAAACCAUUAUUAAGAUAGUCUUGAUAAUAUAUAUCUAAAACUAUGAAUCACAAGACAUGUAAGUUGUAGAGAUCCAUCCAUCAUGGAUCUUAGCAAGCUAGUGGGAGCUAUAAGCGUCUUAUGAGAGAAAGAUCAAAUCGUUUGAUUUCUCAUAAAGAUGUGAAUGAAUCUUUUGUUUACUAGGUUUACAAAAGAUUAGUGGGAGUUAAUCAAAUUCCUAAAUUUGAAUAUAUAUAUAUGAUAUAUUAAUUUUGGAAAUGAAAAGAAUACUUCUUCGUUAAAGUUAUGACUUUAAACAUUCUAUAAUGAUAGAAUGUAUAUGGGAGAUAUAGUCUAAAUACAUGGGAUAGAAAUCUAUAAUGAUAUAUUUCAAGAUAUAAUUCGAUUAUAUCAAUCCCUAAUAAUAGACAAGAGAUGCUAGGAAGUUUCUCAUAUGAUGAUAAACUUCAAUUAGAGGAUGACUCUAGUGAGACUAGCAAGUUGCCCUUCCCAAAGGGAACGUACCCUUUGACUCCCAAAGAAAUAAUGCGUAAAUAGAAUCCUUUAUGCAUACGCAGAAAGGUGAUUUAUGUAUUUCAAAUUGUAUGAAAAACAUUGAUAUGAGUUGUACCUAGAAAGGUACAAGACGAUAUCAGUGCAAGCCCAGGAUCAGAACCAUGGCAACUGUCAAGUUAGUCCUUGAGUAUUUAAGAAAUACUAAAGGAUAGAUUCUUCAAAGAAUGAGGAAGAAUUAGAGUAACGUAAUGGAAGCGUAAAUGUAUUAGAUUAUGAAUCUAAUCCAUCAUUGGAUGUUUCUUCAUUAUGAAUGAAGAGAUAAUCAGAUAUCUCUUUAUUAUAACUAAAAGAGAUAUUUGGAUGGAAACAUUAAAAGUAAUGACUUUAGUGUGUUCCAUUGUGAAUGCAAAAUAUAUUGCCAUAUAGAAGCUUACAACAAUGUUGUUUGGAUGGGAAAGUUCAUUUAUGAACUCUCUAUUCGGUUCCAACCAGAAAGUGUCUCUAGUGUACUGACACUACGACAUUAAUGGGGUGAUAGCUCAAGCCAGGGAACCAAGGUCUCAUCACGAUCCGAACUCAAAUGAGAGACUGAACCACAUGAUUGAGAAUCAUGUAUAAUGGUGAUGUCGUUAUUCUCAAGUUUGCUUCUAUGGAUAACAUAUAGAUAUCCAUUGUCUAGGCCUACUACUCAGCCAUUUUUGAAAUGACUACAUAAGAGGUAUCAUCACUGAUGACCAAGCUGAUUGGCUCUAGUGCAAGUGGGAGAUUGUUGUAAAUGUGCCCUAAAACCAAUCAUAUGAUGAUACUUGAUGCGUAAAAUAACUAAGCACACAAAUUAAACCCUCUUUUGACAAUUGUAGUAUAGAUAUAAGUAGGGUAUCGUUCUAGGCCGGGGAUUAGGAGGGAUUGCUAAUCUAUUCUAAAUUAAUUUAAAAAUAUUAAAUAAGACUCAAGGACACGAAACUAGGCUAAAAACUCUAAUAACUCAAAACACACUUAGGAUAACUCAAAAUAAUGAAAACAAUCAAAUUAGACACUAGGAACUGCAAUGGAUGGAAAUUGAAUUAAAAGACUAACAACAAAGAAAACUAACUAAAUAAAAUAAUUUAAUAAUUGGGGGUUUGGUUUUGACGAGAAGUAAAUUAAACUUAAAUAAAUUACAGAAUUGACAAAAACAUGAAAUUA
Molecule: long non-coding RNA, 1886 nt
Filed under: Malus domestica (apple)
Lineage: Eukaryota; Viridiplantae; Streptophyta; Magnoliopsida; Rosales; Rosaceae
Description: long non-coding RNA (MDOM_LNC020773)
Source: RNAcentral